RNAcentral lists this microRNA precursor (114 nucleotides) under Loxodonta africana (African savanna elephant). RNAcentral's name for it is "microRNA 431 (ENSLAFG00000023806.2)". The stretch from base 8 to 93 matches the Rfam family "mir-431 microRNA precursor family". Lineage: Eukaryota; Metazoa; Chordata; Mammalia; Proboscidea; Elephantidae. The record is from RNAcentral.
UCUUGAUCGUCCUGCGGGGUGUCUUGCAGGCCGUCAUGCAGGCCACCUUGACGGUAACGUUGCAGGUCGCCCUGCGGGGCUUCUCGCAAGACGACAUUCUCCUCGUUAACGAUG